AUGGGAUGGCAAUGUCCACAUAGUGCAGAGGAGAAUUGUUACAGAGCAAUGCUAGAUGAAGGAGCUGAGGCUGGAGAAGUUAAGAGACCCCUGCUAGACAGGAAGGCACGUGAGAAGUAUACUGCUCUGUCUCCUGUGGAGUAAAAAGACUUUAGCGUUCUCAGAAGAAAACCAAAUGAGAUCACACGAAUGAGACUGCUGGAGCAAUCUAAUGCAAAUAUCUACUACAGAUUAUCAAAAGGAAAAAAAAGGAGGAGAUAGGGAAGCUUAAGGGAGGAGUGCUGUGAAGAAUGGUGUCAUUUCUUCUGGACUGCUACUAAGUAAAAGUUAUCUUCUCACCUCACUCACCAAUUCCUGCCUUAGUACCACAGCAAUUAUCUUUGCCUAAACACAUUCACAGGGAAAAAUGUUCAGGUUUUUGGAGAAGAGCUACAAGUGGUGGACGGUGGCCACAGUGAAGAGUGGGGUAACUUAGACUAAACACUCUAGGAACCUUCAGAAUAAAUUUUUCCAAACUGCAGCUUAUUACAUGGGUCACACAAGGACAGUUUGCAGCAUAAGGACAGCUAGCUGUUAUACAAGAACAUGUGUCUGACACAGUCUCACAAGCCUAGUCCAAAACUACAAGGGCCUAACUGUAACUCCAGGAUUACAAGUCCUACCUAAUAACUAUUGACACUCGCCAGUCAGAACUCACCAGCUCUUUUGUUGCUGCUAGCACCAAUAAGCUUUCUUCCAAAACCAACGCAUAGCCUCCGCUUUUCCCAAUAAACUCUAACCUUUUCCUU
Molecule: non-coding RNA, 788 nt
Filed under: Pongo abelii (Sumatran orangutan)
Lineage: Eukaryota; Metazoa; Chordata; Mammalia; Primates; Hominidae
Source: RNAcentral